This is a long non-coding RNA of Andrographis paniculata, 1540 nucleotides long. RefSeq lists it as uncharacterized. Lineage: Eukaryota; Viridiplantae; Streptophyta; Magnoliopsida; Lamiales; Acanthaceae. The transcript is spliced from 5 exons. The record is from RefSeq and is a predicted model, not a curated record.
GAAGAUUUCAUCCUGCCCCUUGUAAAAAUCAUUUUGCGAUCUCCCGCUCUUCUUCGCAAUUACGCUGCUCACUCUUCUUCAUCCCAACUCAUCCAAUACUUUCACCAACGGACUUCCUCUUCUUAUUCUGGUUUGACGCAUAACCCUGUAAACUGCCGCUGCUUCUACCGCUUCUUCAUUCCCGCCUAAUCAACGCCACAACCAUAACCUUUGUCUUCCUCUUCAGCAGCAGCGGUUGCUCCGCAAUCAACGCCGCAACACAUUCUUCUUUCUCUUCAAUCGCACAUUCGCUCAUAUUUCGAAAAUAUAAAUUUUUUCGAUGGACAAUCAACCACCCCUAUUGUCCGAUAUCAUCAAUUGGAUGUGGAAUGACUAGUAAUAAUCGUGAAGAAAAUCAAAAUGGUGAUGGGGGAAUUACAGAUGAUAGGACAUGAUUACAACGAGUACUUUUGAUUCAAUUCCAAGUUUGAUUGGACAUAUAAUUUUCUGAAUCAUGGAUUUUUAUGAAACAAGUAGCUGAUAGCCAAAGAGACAAAUGGUUUGAAAUAUUUAAGGUAUAUUAGUAUUGAGUUUGUUUUAUUAACUAUAUAUUAUUGAAUUGAUUUUAACUAUUAAAUUUCAACUGCAUUUUUAUAGUUCGGAACCUCAGUACGAAUCUGAAAUUCGUAAUUUAUUUUUAAAUAAAGUUAAUGAGUUCUUAAGGAAAAAUUUAGGCUAUGCUAGAAAAAAUAAUGUAUGUCCGAAAUAGAUUUCUCUUGAAAAAUGGGAUAAAAUGAAGGAGCAAUGAGGUUCUAAAGAAUUUCAGGAUAUGGUUGAACGAAAUAAAGAAAAUAGAAAAAAAAUCCGACAGCUGUUGCAAAUCAAUACCGUGGGGGCGCUCGAUCUGCUGGUCGUAUUCGAAAGAUUAUGAAUGACGAAUUAGGACGCACACCAACCGAAACAAUGUUUUAGUAAAAAAAAAAUGUAGUACCUACUCAAGAUGUUGCAGCUCUUGGGGUAUAAUUUAUUUAGAAUAUAUAUAUUUUUAUAUUGAAUAAUAUAAUAUAAUGUUUCAAAAUUUUUAAUUUUAAGGCGAAGCUACAAAAAUUUUCUGAAUGUAGCUCUACUUCUAAAUUGAAUCCAAAGAAACUUGUUAGUGCCUUUGGUGGUUUCAACACAAAAGGUCGUGUCCCGAGACUUGGUUCUAGAGGGAAGAUAGCAAAGGUUCAACUUUGAUUUUCCUGUUCGUUGCAUCUGCAUCUUUUUUAAGUGUAUCAAUGGAUGAACAUUUGAAGAUUAAGGAAGAGUAGCGAGCGAAUAAUCAAAAAUUAGAUCAAGUGACGAAAAUUCCUUCAUAUGCACUUUGAAAAUUUCAAUAAUCCUAUUACUCACGAACCAGAGCCAUAUUAUCCCCGAAUGGCUAGUCCAUUUGAUCCUUGUCAAAUGCGUCGAGAGGAAAGUGGGAGUGGAAGUGGAAGUCGUACCGGUGAAGUGAGUGGAAGUCGACAGUAUUAUCGCAAUGAGGAGGAUGAUGAAUAUGAAAACGACGAUGAUGAAACUA